This 267-nucleotide long non-coding RNA is filed under the name Volvox carteri. RNAcentral's name for it is "long non-coding RNA (VCAR_LNC004128)". Lineage: Eukaryota; Viridiplantae; Chlorophyta; Chlorophyceae; Chlamydomonadales; Volvocaceae. The record is from RNAcentral.
AUGGCACUAAAGUACUAUGAUAUGGUUAACAUGUAUGUCUCCUACAAGAUUCUAGCGGCUUUGGCAUGGACAGUCCAUUUUUGGCUGGAGGAAUGAACUUGUACGGUCGGAACAUUAUUUUUUCUUAACUUUCAGGACCACGAACAAUUUUUUAUUCCGAAUUCGGAAUAUUUUCCGCAAAAAAAUAACGCUGGUAAAAUAACGCUGGUGUGGGUUUGGUAACCAAACCCACGACGAGCAAAACCUGCACUCAAAAGGGCUGAAGGC